RNAcentral lists this ribosomal RNA (427 nucleotides) under uncultured bacterium. RNAcentral describes it as "bacterial SSU rRNA". It matches the Rfam family "Bacterial small subunit ribosomal RNA", at positions 917 to 1344 of the family's 1533-position model. The record is from RNAcentral.
GGGCCCGCACAAGCGGUGGAGCAUGUGGUUUAAUUCGAUGCAACGCGAAAAACCUUACCUACUCUUGACAUACUUGGAAGCUCUUGUAAUGAGAGUGUGCCUUUUGGAACCAAGAUACAGGUGCUGCAUGGCUGUCGUCAGCUCGUGUCGUGAGAUGUUCCGUUAAGUCGGAUAACGAGCGCAACCCUUACCCUUAUUUGCCAGCGAUUCGGUCGGGAACUAUAAGGGGACUGCCGGUGAUAAACCGGAGGAAGGUGAGGACGACGUCAAGUCAUCAUGGCCCUUACGAGUAGGGCUACACACGUGCUACAAUGGGGAAUACAGACGGACGCUAAGCCGCGAGGUGGUGCUAAUCCUAAAAAAGUUUCUCGUAGUCCGGAUUGGAGUCUGCAACUCGACUCCAUGAAGUCGGAAUCGCUAGUAAUCG